CCUACGGGGAGCAGCAGUGAGGAAUAUUGGUCAAUGGACGAGAGUCUGAACCAGCCAAGUAGCGUGAAGGAUGACUGCCCUAUGGGUUGUAAACUUCUUUUAUAUGGGAAUAAAACGUUCCACGUGUGGGAUUUUGUAUGUACCAUAUGAAUAAGGAUCGGCUAACUCCGUGCCAGCAGCCGCGGGAAUACGGAGGAUCCGAGCGUUAUCCGGAUUUAUUGGGUUUAAAGGGAGCGUAGGUGGAUUGUUAAGUCAGUUGUGAAAGUUUGCGGCUCAACCGUAAAAUUGCAGUUGAAACUGGCAGUCUUGAGUACAGUAGAGGUGGGCGGAAUUCGUGGUGUAGCGGUGAAAUGCUUAGAUAUCACGAAGAACUCCGAUUGCGAAGGCAGUUCACUGGACUGCAACUGACACUGAGGCUCGAAAGUGUGGGUAUCAAACAGGAUUAGAUACCCGAGUAGUC
Molecule: ribosomal RNA, 460 nt
Filed under: uncultured bacterium
Lineage: Bacteria
Description: partial 16S ribosomal RNA
Rfam family: Bacterial small subunit ribosomal RNA
Source: RNAcentral